This 66-nucleotide transfer RNA is filed under the name Marmota monax (woodchuck). RNAcentral's name for it is "tRNA.Ala". The stretch from base 5 to 61 matches the Rfam family "tRNA", at positions 8 to 63 of the family's 71-position model. Rfam says of the family: Transfer RNA (tRNA) molecules are approximately 80 nucleotides in length. Lineage: Eukaryota; Metazoa; Chordata; Mammalia; Rodentia; Sciuridae. The record is from RNAcentral.
GCUCUAGCUCAGUGGCAGAGCACUUGCCUAGCAAGUAUGAGGCACUGGGUUCAAUCCUCAGCACCA